This is a long non-coding RNA of Vombatus ursinus (common wombat), 464 nucleotides long. RefSeq lists it as uncharacterized. The transcript is spliced from 3 exons. The record is from RefSeq and is a predicted model, not a curated record. Lineage: Eukaryota; Metazoa; Chordata; Mammalia; Diprotodontia; Vombatidae.
CCCCCCCCCCCUUCCUGCCGCUGCUAUAAAACCAGCGGCCUUGGCAGCGCCGCCACAGCCCGGACCUUUGGAGGGAGAAAGGAAAGAAAGCGUUUCGGCCCUUCCUCCCCUCCUUGGCACCGGCGCGAAACGCACAGCGAACGAGCGAGUGAGAGAGCGCGCGGCCAGGAGCUGUCCCCGUCCCUGUCCCCACCCCCCAGAGCUAUCAAAGCUGCUGGCCCUCUGCUGCCUACGCGCAGCUGGCCCUUCAGAAGAGAGGAAGGGGAGGCAGGAACGUGAGCAGCGAGUCUAUGCUCCCUUAUUACACAGCAGCCAGUGGGUGCGCUGUGGGCAUGUUCAACACAUCCAUGCGGGAGCUGCAGAAGCACUUGUACAAAGGGGAAUACUAUGCCUUCAAGUACGCCCCCAUGUUCGAGAGCAACUUCAUCCAGAUCAGCAAGAGAGGGGAAAUGAUUAGCAUGCAU